This 957-nucleotide ribosomal RNA is filed under the name uncultured bacterium. Its description in RNAcentral is "bacterial SSU rRNA". It matches the Rfam family "Bacterial small subunit ribosomal RNA", at positions 8 to 964 of the family's 1533-position model. The record is from RNAcentral.
AGAGUUUGAUCCUGGCUCAGAGCGAACGCUGGCGGCGUGCUUAACACAUGCAAGUCGAACGCGCAGCAUUCUGUAGCAAUACAGGGUGUGGGCGCGUGGCGAACGGGUGCGUAACACGUGGAUAACCUUCCUUCAGGUGGGGAAUAACCCAGUGAAAAUUGGGCUAAUACCGCAUAACAUGACGAUGGCACAUGCUGUUGUCUUCAAAGGCGCAAGUCGCCAGAAGAGGGAUCCGCGGCCGAUUAGCUUGUUGGCGAGGUAAUGGCUCACCAAGGCAUUGAUCGGUAGCCGGACUGAGAGGUUGACCGGCCACACUGGAACUGAGACACGGUCCAGACUCCUACGGGAGGCAGCAGUGGGGAAUCUUGCACAAUGGACGAAAGUCUGAUGCAGCAACGCCGCGUGGGGGAUGAAGCUUCUCGGAGUGUAAACCCCUUUCGACCCGGAAGAAUGCCCGCAAGGGUUUGACGGUACGGGUAUAAGAAGCCCCGGCUAACUACGUGCCAGCAGCCGCGGUAAUACGUAGGGGGCCAGCGUUGCUCGGAAUUACUGGGCGUAAAGGGUCCGUAGGCGGUGCGGCAAGUCGAGAGUGAAAUCCCUAGGCUUAACCUAGGGGCUGCUAGCGAAACUGCCGUGCUAGAGUGUGAGAGAGGCGAGUGGAAUUACGGGUGUAGCGGUGAAAUGCGUAGAUAUCCGUAGGAACAUCCGAGGCGAAAGCGGCUCGCUGGAUCACAACUGACGCUGAGAGACGAAAGCUAGGGGAGCAAACAGGAUUAGAUACCCUGGUAGUCCUAGCCCUAAACCAUCAGACUUGGGGUUUGCCCUGUACGGGGCAAGUCCCGUAGCUAACGCGUUAAGUCCUGCGCCUGGGGAGUACGGUCGCAAGGCUGAAACUCAAAGGAAUUGACGGGGGCCCGCACAAGCGGUGGAACAUGUGGUUCAUUCGACGCAACGCGA